Molecule: non-coding RNA, 714 nt
Organism: Opisthocomus hoazin
Lineage: Eukaryota; Metazoa; Chordata; Aves; Opisthocomiformes; Opisthocomidae
Source: the annotation of a RefSeq genome assembly
AUGGCCUGGGCCCCUCUCCUCCUCGCGGUGCUCACCCACAGCUCAGGUUCCCUGGUCCAGGCAGCCCUGACUCAGCCACCCUCGGUGUCAGUGAACCUGGGAGAAACUGCCCAGAUCACCUGCUCCGGGUUUAGCAGCGGCAGCUAUGCUGGCUGGUACCAGCAGAAGGUCCCUGGCAGUGCCCCUGUCACUGUGAUCUACAAUGACAACAAGAGACCCUCGGACAUCCCUUCGCGAUUCUCCAUACCUUUCUUUGGCUCCACAGCCACGUUAACCAUCACUGGGGUCUAAGCCGAGCACGAGGCUGUCUAUUACUGUGGUGGCUCUGAUGGCAGCAGUUCUGAUCUGGGUGGUGGAGGCACCACUCUCUCUUCCCCCCUCACAGGCCGGCCCCAGUCCCCCCCUGAACUCCUCCUCUUCCCGCCGGCCACCGAGGAGAUCUCCACGCAGAGCAAAGCCACGCUGGUGUGUCUGCUGGAAGACUUCUACCCCAGCACCGUGCAGGUGACCUGGACGGCUGAUGGCCAGAUGCUCACCAGCGGCAUCCAGACCAGCAAUGCCCAGCAGCAGAGCAACAGCAAGUACAUGGCCAGCAGCUACCUGACACUGAGUGCCGCCGACUGGAAUAGCCAUGACCAUGAGUCCUACACCUGCAAGGUCACGCACGAGGCUGGCAACGUGGAGAAGAGCCUGAAGAGAUCCGAGUGCUCCUAA